GCCAGAGGGAGGAGCAGGCUCCUCGCUGAGCUGGGAGCUCGAUGCGGGGCUCAAUCCCAGGACCCCAGGAUCCUGACCUGAGCCCAAGACCAACACUUAAUGGACUGAGCCACCCAGGCGGCCCCAGGCUUGAUUUCUUACAAUAAUCUGGCAUUGAAGUAGUGGCCUGCCCCACCGAGGGGAGAAAGGGUGACUCUCUAUGUAGCCCCACCUGGUCUACUGAUUCUCCCUGGGAAAACAGCGACACUCUGCCUCCACUUCUCACACUGGGAGCUCUCCCUACACCAGGGCCCCUCUCCGGCUGGCCUGCCCAACCACACGACAAUCAGGCUUUUGGCCAGGCAGUUACAGGGCCGCCUUGUCCUGGCAACCACCAGGCCCAAGCUGCAAAGGGCAGCUGAAGCAGCAACUGAUGCUCAGAAGGAGAGGCUGACUCACUCCAGCCAGGCUGCACCCUCCGUGAAUAUUUUUGGACCUUAGCCUGGGAUUCCCGCAGGUUCUGACAACAAGUUGGACCAUCCUCUUGUAUGAGAUACGACUUAUCACCGGUUACUAGACGAGGAAACUGAGCCCAGGAGCCGACCCAGGUCCUUCCCUACACCCCGGAGAGGCCAUCUCGGGUGCCAGGUCACCGCCAGAGUGUCCGCAGCCUGUGGCCACAGCGCACCCCCUUCCAGGGCCCCUGCAGGUGCUGCCACCGGGCCUCUCCACCUCUCCACCUCUCCGGGGAUGGUCUUCCUAGGACCCUGCACGUGUCGGCUCGGCCUCUGUCCUCAUGUCCAAUGUCCCAUUGGCCUGCCCUUCUUGACUGUAAGCCCCCACCCAUGUGUCCUUAUGGUUCAAUGUCGGAUAGAUCCCCAGGGUCCAGUACAGGAUGGAUCCCCCCAAACGGUUAUUAAAUGCAAAUUGUUAAACUGUCA
Canis lupus familiaris (dog) is the source of this 920-nucleotide long non-coding RNA. RefSeq lists it as uncharacterized. The record is from RefSeq and is a predicted model, not a curated record. Lineage: Eukaryota; Metazoa; Chordata; Mammalia; Carnivora; Canidae. The transcript has 4 exons.